UGCAAGUCGAACGGUGAAGCAGAGCUUGCUCUGUGGAUCAGUGGCGAACGGGUGAGUAACACGUGAGCAACCUGCCCCUGACUCUGGGAUAAGCGCUGGAAACGGCGUCUAAUACUGGAUACGAGCAACGGCCGCAUGGCCAGUUGUUGGAAAGAUUUUUUGGUUGGGGAUGGGCUCGCGGCCUAUCAGCUUGUUGGUGAGGUAAUGGCUCACCAAGGCGUCGACGGGUAGCCGGCCUGAGAGGGUGACCGGCCACACUGGGACUGAGACACGGCCCAGACUCCUACGGGAGGCAGCAGUGGGGAAUAUUGCACAAUGGGCGGAAGCCUGAUGCAGCAACGCCGCGUGAGGGAUGACGGCCUUCGGGUUGUAAACCUCUUUUAGCAGGGAAGAAGCGAAAGUGACGGUACCUGCAGAAAAAGCGCCGGCUAACUACGUGCCAGCAGCCGCGGUAAUACGUAGGGCGCAAGCGUUAUCCGGAAUUAUUGGGCGUAAAGAGCUCGUAGGCGGUUUGUCGCGUCUGCUGUGAAAUCUGGGGGCUCAACCCCCAGCCUGCAGUGGGUACGGGCAGACUAGAGUGCGGUAGGGGAGAUUGGAAUUCCUGGUGUAGCGGUGGAAUGCGCAGAUAUCAGGAGGAACACCGAUGGCGAAGGCAGAUCUCUGGGCCGUAACUGACGCUGAGGAGCGAAAGGGUGGGGAGCAAACAGGCUUAGAUACCCUGGUAGUCCACCCCGUAAACGUUGGGAACUAGUUGUGGGGUCCAUUCCACGGAUUCCGUGACGCAGCUAACGCAUUAAGUUCCCCGCCUGGGGAGUACGGCCGCAAGGCUAAAACUCAAAGGAAUUGACGGGGACCCGCACAAGCGGCGGAGCAUGCGGAUUAAUUCGAUGCAACGCGAAGAACCUUACCAAGGCUUGACAUAUACGAGAACGGGCCAGAAAUGGUCAACUCUUUUGGACACUCGUAAACAGGUGGUGCAUGGUUGUCGUCAGCUCGUGUC
RNAcentral lists this ribosomal RNA (1000 nucleotides) under Microbacterium natoriense. RNAcentral's name for it is "bacterial SSU rRNA". It matches the Rfam family "Bacterial small subunit ribosomal RNA", at positions 56 to 1066 of the family's 1533-position model. Lineage: Bacteria; Bacillati; Actinomycetota; Actinomycetes; Micrococcales; Microbacteriaceae. The record is from RNAcentral.